GGUGAGUGAUGCCUAUGAAUCUGCCUGGUAGUGGGGGACGACGAUUCCAAAGGAACGCUGAUACCGCAUACGUCCUACGGGAGAAAGCGGGGAUCUUCUGACCUGACGCUAUCGCAUGAGCCUACGUCGGAUUAGCUAGUUGGUGAGGUAGAGGCUCACCAACGCGACGAUCCGUAACUGGACUGAGAGGAUGAUCAGUCACACUGGAACUGACACUCAGUCCAGACUCCUACUGGAGGCAGCAGUGGGGAAUAUUGGACAAUGGGCGAAAGCCUGAUCCAGCCAUGCCCCGUGUGUGAAGAAGGUCUUCGGAUUGGAAAUCACUUUAAGUUGGGAGGAAGGGCAGUAAGUUAAUACCUUGCUGUUUUGACGUUACCAACAGAAUAAGCACCGGCUAACUUCCUGCCAGCAGCCGCGGUCAUACGAAGGGUGCAAGCGUUAAUCGGAAUUACUGGGCGUAAAGCUCGCGUAUGUGGGUCUUUAAGGUGGAUGUGAAAGCCCCAGGCUCAACCUGGGAACUGCAUCCGAAACUGGCAAUCUAGAGUAUGGCACAUGGUGGUGGAAUUUCCUGUGUAGCUGUGAAAUGCAUAGAUAUAGGAAGGAACACCAUUGGCGAACGCCACCACCUGGGCUAAUACUGACACUGAGGUGCGACAGUGUGGGGAGCAAACAUGAUUAGAUACCCUGGUAGUCCACGCCGUAAACGAUGUCGACUAGCCAUUGGGAUCCUUGAGAUCUUAGUGGCGCAGCUAACGCAUUAAGUCUACCGCCUGAGGAGUACGGCCGCAAGGUUAAGACUCAAAUGAAUUGACUGGGGCGCGCACAAGCGGUGGAGCAUGUGGUGUAAUUCAAAUCAACGCAUACAACCUUACCAGGCCUUGACAUGCAGAGAACUAUCCCGAGAUGGAUUGGUGCCUUCGGAACUCUACUCAGUGCUGCAUGGCUGUCGUCACCUCGUGUCGUGAAAUGUGGGUUAAGUCCCUUACCAACGCACCCUGCCCUUAUUCCAGCACUUAAGGNGGGCUCUAAGGAGACUGCCGUGACAAUCCGAGGAAGGGGNGGAUGACGUCAGUCAUGGCCUUACGUCUGGCUACACCUGCUAAUGGUCGGNCAAGGAUGGCAACCGNGAGGG
This 1132-nucleotide ribosomal RNA is filed under the name Pseudomonas sp. Its description in RNAcentral is "bacterial SSU rRNA". It matches the Rfam family "Bacterial small subunit ribosomal RNA", at positions 105 to 1263 of the family's 1533-position model. The record is from RNAcentral. Lineage: Bacteria; Pseudomonadati; Pseudomonadota; Gammaproteobacteria; Pseudomonadales; Pseudomonadaceae.